This 253-nucleotide ribosomal RNA is filed under the name uncultured bacterium. RNAcentral's name for it is "partial 16S ribosomal RNA". It matches the Rfam family "Bacterial small subunit ribosomal RNA", at positions 524 to 776 of the family's 1533-position model. The record is from RNAcentral.
GACAGAGGGUGCAAACGUUGUUCGGAAUUACUGGGCGUAAAGCGUGUGUAGGCGGCUGUUCAAGUCGGGUGUGAAAGCCCCGGGCUCAACCCGGGAAGUGCACUCGAUACUGGAUGGCUUGAGUCUUGGAGAGGUUGGUGGAAUUCUCGGUGUAGAGGUGAAAUGCGUAGAUAUCUGGAGGAACACCGGUGGCGAAGGCGGCAUCCUGGACCAUGACUGACGCUGAGGAGCGAAAGCCAGGGGAGCAAACGGG